UCGCUCCUACCGAUUGAGCGGUCCGGUGAAGACUCAAGAGAUAUGUGCGUGUUUGGUUUCCAUUCGCGUUGCGUGUCGAAUUUGUCUAAACCUUAUCGCUUAGAGGAAGGAG
This 112-nucleotide ribosomal RNA is filed under the name uncultured eukaryote. RNAcentral describes it as "partial small subunit ribosomal RNA". It matches the Rfam family "Eukaryotic small subunit ribosomal RNA", at positions 1676 to 1785 of the family's 1831-position model. The record is from RNAcentral.